GAUGAACGCUGGCGGCGUGCCUAAUACAUGCAAGUCGAGCGAACAGAUAAGGAGCUUGCUUCUUUGACGUUAGCGGCGGACGGGUGAGUAACACGUGGGUAACCUACCUAUAAGACUGGAAUAACUUCGGGAAACCGGGGCUAAUGCCGGAUAACAUGUUGAACCGCAUGGUUCUACAGUGAAAGGCGGCUUUGCUGUCACUUAUAGAUGGACCCGCGCCGUAUUAGCUAGUUGGUGAGGUAACGGCUCACCAAGGCAACGAUACAUAGCCGACCUGAGAGGGUGAUCGGCCACACUGGAACUGAGACACGGUCCAGACUCCUACGGGAGGCAGCAGUAGGGAAUCUUCCGCAAUGGGCGAAAGCCUGACGGAGCAACGCCGCGUGAGUGAUGAAGGUCUUCGGAUCGUAAAACUCUGUUAUUAGGGAAGAACAAAUGCGUAAGUAACUGUGCGCGUCUUGACGGUACCUAAUCAGAAAGCCACGGCUAACUACGUG
This 497-nucleotide ribosomal RNA is filed under the name uncultured bacterium. RNAcentral's name for it is "partial 16S ribosomal RNA". It matches the Rfam family "Bacterial small subunit ribosomal RNA", at positions 28 to 507 of the family's 1533-position model. The record is from RNAcentral.